GUAUGUCCCCGAGCGUUAUCCGGAUUUAUUGGGCGUAAAGCGAGCGCAGACGGUUGAUUAAGUCUGAUGUGACAGCCCGGAGCUCAACUCCGGAAUGGCAUUGGAAACUGGUUAACUUGAGUGCAGUAGAGGUAAGUGGAACUCCAUGUGUAGCGGUGGAAUGCGUAGAUAUAUGGAAGAACACCAGUGGCGAAGGCGGCUUACUGGACUGUAACUGACGUUGAGGCUCGAAAGUGUGGGUAGCAAACAGGAUUAGAUACCCUGGUAGUCCACACCGUAAACGAUGAACACUAGGUGUUAGGAGGUUUCCGCCUCUUAGUGCCGAAGCUAACGCAUUAAGUGUUCCGCCUGGGGAGUACGACCGCAAGGUUGAAACUCAAAGGAAUUGACGGGGACCCGCACAAGCGGUGGAGCAUGUGGUUUAAUUCGAAGCAACGCGAAGAACCUUACCAGGUCUUGACAUCCUUUGAAGCUUUUAGAGAUAGAAGUGUUCUCUUCGGAGACAAAGUGACAGGUGGUGCAUGGUCGUCGUCAGCUCGUGUCGUGAGAUGUUGGGUUAAGUCCCGCAACGAGCGCAACCCUUAUUGUUAGUUGCCAGCAUUCAGAUGGGCACUCUAGCGAGACUGCCGGUGACAAACCGGAGGAAGGCGGGGACGACGUCAGAUCAUCAUGCCCCUUAUGACCUGGGCUACACACGUGCUACAAUGGCGUAUACAACGAGUUGCCAACCCGCGAGGGUGAGCUAAUCUCUUAAAGUACGUCUCAGUUCGGAUUGUAGUCUGCAACUCGACUACAUGAAGUCGGAAUCGCUAGUAAUCGCGGAUCAGCACGCCGCGGUGAAUACGUUCCCGGGUCUUGUACACACCGCCCGUCACACCAUGGGAGUUUGUAAUGCCCAAAGCCGGUGGCCUAACCUUUAGGAAGGAGCCGUCUAAGCAGACAGAUCCGAG
This 950-nucleotide ribosomal RNA is filed under the name Leuconostoc pseudomesenteroides. Its description in RNAcentral is "bacterial SSU rRNA". It matches the Rfam family "Bacterial small subunit ribosomal RNA", at positions 526 to 1479 of the family's 1533-position model. The record is from RNAcentral. Lineage: Bacteria; Bacillati; Bacillota; Bacilli; Lactobacillales; Lactobacillaceae.